GUCAUUAUCAGACCCAAAAGGUGGUGAUUCCAGACUCUCAGGCCGACUUCCGAGUCGUGGAGAGCAAUUGUCUUCUCCCCUCUGUAACGUCUCAAAAAGACGUUGAUAAGUAACGAAGCGCUCCCUUUUAGACAUGAUGACAGUCAGAGCAAAUAUCUCCAAAUCGGCUUUUUACGGCGGGUACAUGUUAUCCCAGGGGACUUGUAAGCGUUCAUGGGUGGAGGGAAAAGACCCCCCACCCACAUGCUGACUGACAUUGGAUGAGAACAGGAAAUGGUUCCAUAUUUCCCUGUGAUUGGAUUCCGGCCUUGUCCCCAGCCGGCAUCUGCAAACAAGUCCUUCAUUGUUGGUGUUACUCGUGGUCAUCCCUCAGGAUUUAGCGCCUGCCGAAGCCGAAGCGUCCUACCUGACUCGUUUUUGUCUGCGUGGCUAAGUGGGAUACAUCGGCAGAGGCACUGGUGUCGGCGUGGGUGUUGGAAGAAUUACAAACAAGAGACAAAGGUUUCCUUCUCACUGAAACAGGUUCUUGAGACCAGAAGGGAAAAUUGACCAAACAUGAAUUUUCCUGAGGUUGGACAGAGUGUGUUCACUCACGGGUAUGUGCGCUUCACUUAAAGCGUGUCUUUGCAGCAUCACAAAACACUGGAGAAGUCCAGUCAGAAAUUUUAACUUGAUAUCAAUGACAAAUUAAGAAAUGAAAAUGAAAAGUAGACUUGUCGGAGUGUCAGUCACACAGAUAUCUGAGACGUCUAUUUGUCCACCCGACCCAAACAGAAAGCCCCCGACCCGCAAACACAGUUUAUUC
Molecule: long non-coding RNA, 805 nt
Organism: Gasterosteus aculeatus aculeatus (three-spined stickleback)
Lineage: Eukaryota; Metazoa; Chordata; Actinopteri; Perciformes; Gasterosteidae
Source: Ensembl